CCAGCACUCAUGGUAAGAAUAAGGA
This 25-nucleotide unclassified non-coding RNA is filed under the name Mus musculus (house mouse). RNAcentral's name for it is "oocyte_clustered_small_RNA11378". Lineage: Eukaryota; Metazoa; Chordata; Mammalia; Rodentia; Muridae. The record is from RNAcentral.